RNAcentral lists this unclassified non-coding RNA (162 nucleotides) under soil metagenome. RNAcentral's name for it is "partial internal transcribed spacer 1". The record is from RNAcentral.
UAAUCAAGUGUUUUAUGGCACUUUUCAAAAUCCAUAUCCACCUUGUGUGCAAUGUCAGCUCGCUGGCUUCCGUCACCUGUGGUCACCUUGGAUUAUAUCUAACAUCAACCUUUAUCUUUAAUCUUUGUCUGAAACAUAUUAUGAAUAACUUAAUUCAAAAUA